GACGAACGCUGGCGGCGUGCUUAACACAUGCAAGUCGAACGGAAAGGCCCUGCUUUUGUGGGGUUCUCGAGUGGCGAACGGGUGAGUAACACGUGAGUAACCUGCCCUUGACUUUGGGAUAACUUCAGGAAACUGGGGCUAAUACCGGAUAGGAGCUCCUGCUGCAUGGUGGGGGUUGGAAAGUUUCGGCGGUUGGGGAUGGACUCGCGGCUUAUCAGCUUGUUGGUUGGGUAGUGGUUUACCAAGGCUUUGACGGGUAGCCGGCCUGAGAGGGUGACCGGCGACAAUGGGACUGAGAGACGCCGCAGAGUCCUACGGGAGGCAGCAGUGGGGAAUAUUGCACAAUGGGCGGACGCCUGAGGAAGCAGCGCCGCGUGCGGGAUGACGGCUUGCGGGUUGUAAAACGCUUUCGCCUGUGACGAAGCGUGAGUGACGGUAAUGGGUAAAGAAGCACCGGCUAACUACGUG
This 468-nucleotide ribosomal RNA is filed under the name uncultured bacterium. RNAcentral's name for it is "partial 16S ribosomal RNA". It matches the Rfam family "Bacterial small subunit ribosomal RNA", at positions 28 to 507 of the family's 1533-position model. The record is from RNAcentral.